AUGGAUCAAAGUGUCAGUGCAACCGUUUCAGCAUCUACCGGUGCAGGAGCAACAACAUCGAGGUCCACCGCCAUAACGCAGCCGACGAUAAUGGGGGCCUUCAGCAAAACAAUACAGUACAAAAGGGACAGUGCCCGUUGGAAAACCUGUACUGAUGCAGUAACUAAAUACUUGGCAAAGGAAAUGGUUUCUUUCUACACUGUAGAAAAAAAAUCAUUUAAGGACAUGGUAAAGGUCCUAGAUGCCCAGUACGAGCUGCCUGGACGGAAAUUUUUCUCACAAACAGCCGUCCCACAAUUAUAUAGUAAAGUUAGAGACGAUGUUCAAGUGCUGCUAUCAGCGGCAGACAGUUAUUCUUUAACAACUGACAUGUGGUCGUCAGUUAACAUGACACCAUAUAUGUCUCUGACUGUCCAUAUUAUUACACCUGACUGGAAACUUGAAUCCAAAUGUCUCCAAACUACGUAUUUUCCAGAGAGUCAUACGGCGGACAAUCUAGCUGCGACGCUUACAGCUGCACUUCAAGAAUGGCAACUUGACGAGAAAAAACUCUCAGCCAUAACCACUGACAACGCUGCCAACAUUCAUGCCGCAAUCAGGUCCCUGCAUUGGCCGUGGCUUAAUUGCUUUGGUCACAAUCUAAACUUGGCUGUCACAAAUGGAUUGCACGACCAGAAGCAAAAAACCGAGCGCACCCUCGGACUAUGCCGUAAUAUUGUCGGGGCCUUUUCACACAGCUGGCAACGUAAGCAUGAACUCCACAAGAAGCAAGUGGACUUGGGUCUCCCAAAACAUAGUCUCGUAACGGACUGCGCAACUCGCUGGGGCUCCAAACUGGCAAUGGUGGAGCGCAUCCUCGAGCAGGCCCAAGCGAUCAGACACGUCCUGUCUGAUGACAGAAGGAGCAGCCUGUCCCUGACCUGGCAGGACAUGGACGUCUUGAAAGCUAUUCACGAAGCACUGAAACCAGUCGGUGACUUCACUGAUAUUUUGUCAGGAGAAAAUUAUGUGACCAGUUCCUGUAUCCUCCCCAUACUACAGCUCUGCAGGGACAAUGUUUUGGCUGCGUCAGAAAAUGACCUUCAGCUAACAAAGUCAAUCAAAACUGGAAUUCUAACAAAGCUGGAGGCCAAGUAUGAAUCCAGUUCAGUGCGCAAAAUAUUGCGAAAAUGCACUUUCCUCGACCCGCGUUACCGCGGAGGAUAUGAGGCAGAUGACAACGCAUUGGCUGAGACAAAGGCUGAAUUACAGGCUGAGAUCGUCAGCUUAGAGGCAGCAGGUCCAGUGGCCAUAAGAGUGGAAGAGGGAGAGGCGCAACUAGAACCCUUACGAAAAAAAAUGACUCUGGGAAGUAUGCUGCAAAAAAAACCUGAUGCAAUGGCAGGUGCCGUCGGCAGCGGCACCGUAGAAGACCGAGUCGGAGCUGAAAUAACAGCUUACUGUUUGGAGCCAGUUACUCAAGGAGACGAGGACCCACUUCUUUGGUGGAAAUCUGCUGCCGGGCGUUUUCCCCAGAUGUCACGAGUGGCACGAAAAUACCUGUGCGUCUGUGCCACAAGCACACCAUCGGAACGGGUUUUCAGCACCGCAGGUAAAGUUGUCGGUCCACAACGUUCCCUGUUAAAGCCCGACAAAGUAAACAUGCUGGUUUUUCUAGCGAAAAAUAUUGAUUAG
Molecule: non-coding RNA, 1674 nt
Organism: Danio rerio (zebrafish)
Lineage: Eukaryota; Metazoa; Chordata; Actinopteri; Cypriniformes; Danionidae
Source: Ensembl